AAUGAGCACUAGAUGGCAGCAAAUCAAUAUAUAUCAUUAUGGGUCCUAGAAUGUCACAGUUCAAAGAACAAACAAUCUGGGAUUUUCUGAUCAAGCACCAGUAAGGUAAUUAGGAACUUGGACCCUCUCCAUCCC
Long non-coding RNA from Myotis brandtii (Brandt's bat), 135 nucleotides. RefSeq lists it as uncharacterized. NCBI's taxonomy places the organism in Eukaryota, Metazoa, Chordata, Mammalia, Chiroptera, Vespertilionidae. The transcript has 2 exons. The record is from RefSeq and is a predicted model, not a curated record.